RNAcentral lists this ribosomal RNA (1049 nucleotides) under uncultured bacterium. RNAcentral describes it as "bacterial SSU rRNA". It matches the Rfam family "Bacterial small subunit ribosomal RNA", at positions 8 to 1061 of the family's 1533-position model. The record is from RNAcentral.
AGAGUUUGAUCAUGGCUCAGAUUGAACGCUGGCGGCAGGCCUAACACAUGCAAGUCGAGCGGGGUUUUCGGACCUAGCGGCGGACGGGUGAGUAAUGCGUAGGAAGCUACCCGAUAGAGGGGGAUACCAGUUGGAAACGACUGUUAAUACCGCAUAAUGUCUACGGACCAAAGUGUGGGACCUUCGGGCCACAUGCUAUCGGAUGCGCCUACGUGGGAUUAGCUAGUUGGUGAGGUAAUGGCUCACCAAGGCGACGAUCCCUAGCUGGUUUGAGAGGAUGAUCAGCCACACUGGAACUGAGACACGGUCCAGACUCCUACGGGAGGCAGCAGUGGGGAAUAUUGGACAAUGGGCGCAAGCCUGAUCCAGCCAUGCCGCGUGUGUGAAGAAGGCCUUCGGGUUGUAAAGCACUUUCAGCGAGGAGGAAGGGGUUGUAGUUAAUAGCUGCAAUCUUUGACGUUACUCGCAGAAGAAGCACCGGCUAACUCUGUGCCAGCAGCCGCGGUAAUACAGAGGGUGCAAGCGUUAAUCGGAAUUACUGGGCGUAAAGCGCACGUAGGCGGUUUUUUAAGUCAGAUGUGAAAGCCCCGGGCUCAACCUGGGAAUUGCAUUUGAAACUGGAAAGCUAGAGUGUGUGAGAGGGGGGUAGAAUUCCAAGUGUAGCGGUGAAAUGCGUAGAGAUUUGGAGGAAUACCAGUGGCGAAGGCGGCCCCCUGGCACAACACUGACGCUCAGGUGCGAAAGCGUGGGGAGCAAACAGGAUUAGAUACCCUGGUAGUCCACGCCGUAAACGAUGUCUACUAGCUGUUCAUGGUCUUGUACUGUGAGUAGCGCAGCUAACGCACUAAGUAGACCGCCUGGGGAGUACGGUCGCAAGAUUAAAACUCAAAUGAAUUGACGGGGCCCGCACAAGCGGUGGAGCAUGUGGUUUAAUUCGACGCAACGCGAAGAACCUUACCUACUCUUGACAUCUACAGAACUUAGCAGAGGAUGCUUCCGGUGCCUUCGGGAACUGUAAGAACAGGUGCUGCAUGGCUGUUCGUCAGCCU